RNAcentral lists this ribosomal RNA (387 nucleotides) under uncultured Sphingomonas sp. Its description in RNAcentral is "bacterial SSU rRNA". It matches the Rfam family "Bacterial small subunit ribosomal RNA", at positions 1153 to 1533 of the family's 1533-position model. Lineage: Bacteria; Pseudomonadati; Pseudomonadota; Alphaproteobacteria; Sphingomonadales; Sphingomonadaceae. The record is from RNAcentral.
CGGUGAUAAGCCGGAGGAAGGUGGGGAUGACGUCAAGUCCUCAUGGCCCUUACGCGCUGGGCUACACACGUGCUACAAUGGCGACUACAGGUGGGCGGCAAUCCCGCGAGGGUGAGCUAAUCUCCAAAAGUCGUCUCAGUUCGGAUUGUUCUCUGCAACUCGAGAGCAUGAAGGCGGAAUCGCUAGUAAUCGCGGAUCAGCAUGCCGCGGUGAAUACGUUCCCAGGCCUUGUACACACCGCCCGUCACACCAUGGGAGUUGGGAUUCACCCGAAGGCGUUGCGCUAACUCGCAAGAGAGGCAGGCGACCACGGUGGGCUUAGCGACUGGGGUGAAGUCGUAACAAGGUAGCCGUAGGGGAACCUGCGGCUGGAUCACCUCCUUUAUG